Sebastes umbrosus (honeycomb rockfish) is the source of this 2007-nucleotide long non-coding RNA. RefSeq lists it as uncharacterized. The record is from RefSeq and is a predicted model, not a curated record. Lineage: Eukaryota; Metazoa; Chordata; Actinopteri; Perciformes; Sebastidae. The transcript has 2 exons.
UCACAUUUCUCUUUUGUGCUACAUGCCAGGGAUCGAGAACAGGAAGAGCACUGAGUAAAAAACAAGUCCAUCUGUCUCCUUUGUUUGAACUGUGACCAGCUUUCCGGCGUCAUCGGCAGAGGCUCACACCUCGCACAGCACAGAAUUCGAUUCGCUCCUCCGGCGUGCAGCUCCGACCAAUAGGGGAAAUGUUGAGCAUGCCAUGCCUGAACUCAAUGAACGUUCCCCUGCAGGCAGAAGAGGACACUUAAAGGACAUUUAAAAAAAAACGUAACUGAGGCAGAAACCUGGAUUUGAUUUAACAUGAUACCAAGUUUACAAAGAGAGCAUCACCCCCCAUAGGAAGAAGAAAAACACAUGUUAACAAUCAUGUUUUAUCUUUAUUCCUACACAGAGAUCCCAAUCGGGCAUGUUCUUAUCUGCCUCAACAAGUCAGUGCUGAAUCUGCUGAUGGAUAAAGAGAUAGCAGGAAUACCAGGAAUGCAGGUCAAAGGUGUGCGUGUGUGUCCAUCCUGGGGGUUUGAAUAACUUGACUGUCUUAUGAGGUCGGUCAAAGUCUCACCUUUUCUUUGGCAGCUUGAUGAGCCCCAUGUAGCUCAGGCAGAAGUUGAUCAGGUCCUGCAGCAGCUCCUCCCCGAUCUGGUUCUGAAUGGCCUGACGGGAUGAAAAUACACUUCAUUCAUAAACACUUUCACACACUGUGCUCUGUCCCAUUGUUUGGACAGGUGACUGAAACUGAUUCAAAUUAUUACAUUUAUUUUUCCCCCUGUGUAUCCAUAUGGUUCGUCAAGAUGAAGGUAAAGAGGUCACCUAUUAAAUUCAUAGUUGUAAGUAGCCUUUCAGGUGGGCUGUGCAAUAUAUCAAUAUGAUAUCGAUAUAGUGAUAUGAGACUAGAUAUCGUCUUGGAUAUAAUAUUAUCGUAAUAAGUGUUAUCUUUUCCUGGUUUUAAAGGUUGCAUUACAGUAAAGUGAUUUAAUUUUCUAAGUUUACCAAACUGUUCUAGCUGUUCUAUUAUUUGCCUUUACCCAAUUAGUCAUUAUAGCCACAUUACUGAUAAUUAUUAAGCAAAAAUUUGUGUCAAUAUUUUGUAAAAGCACCAAUGGUCAACCCUAUAAUAUCGUUGCAAUAUCUAUAUCGAGGUAUUUGAUCUCCAUGUCACCCAGCCUUACCUUUUAGUAUCUUAAGCUUUUGGCUAAUGAAUUAGAUCAUUUGUCUUAUUUCUUUGUAGGUAAACAUAUUUUUCAUCACAUAAAAUGUAAACAUGUGAAGCAUGUAUGUGGUAUUUCUCUCAAAACAGAUUAUGUGUUGGAUACCAGCUGACGUUUUGACAUAACAUGAAAAAUGGGACUCUGAAUGAUCACUUACGUGCUUUGAGAGGAGUUUCCCAUCUUUGUAUUGCACUGUCCCGUUCUCAGCAAACACAUAGUCAAACUUGUGUAUCACUGCAAGAGAGGAGAGGAGACAGGUGAAAUGUGACUAAUGUGCUCAUAACACCCAUUCAAGGAAGUAGUAGGAAGAAGUGUCUCUCCCACUAAGGUCUGAAUACAGAAGAAUAGAACAGCCUGCUAUAUUUACCUGGUGGCAGAUUACAGUUUGUGUAACUCUGCCUGGAAAAGCCACGCUUAAUCUGUCUGACCUUCCCACUCACUUUGGCCUGUAAGUGAUCCGCAAGCAACACUCUCCAGGAAAAGUCUGUAACUUUGCCUGACUAAAAAGCUGCUUUCAUCACUUUCCCAUUAAUAACCACAGCAGUCACCUGCACAACAGCAGAAUCCAGCAAACUGAAGGCAUGUAGAAGCUGAUGAUGUAAAAACAGCUGGAUUGUGUCUGUGUGACAAAUAAUAAUAAAAUGCUCCUCUCACUGGGUUAAAAAUGUAAAAAAGAUGUUAUUAGAAUUAACUGUUAUGUGGUUAUUUAGUUUUACACAUUAACUGAUGAUUAAAUGAUAAAACUGACAAUUUCAAUAACCUUUUUCACCAUCAAUAAAAAGAAACACUACAAUAAUGU